GACGAACGCUGGCGGCGUGCCUAAUACAUGCAAGUCGAACGCAGUUGGGACGGGUGAGUAACCCGUGCUUAACCUCCCAUCAGAGGGGAUAACACUUGGAAACAGGUGCUAAACCGAUACUGCUCGCUGCACCCGCGGUGCAUUAGCUAGUUGGUGAGGUAACGGAUCACCAAGGCCACGAUGCAUAGCCGACCUGGGAGGGUGAUCGGCCACACUGGGACUGAGACACGGCCCAGACUCCUACGGGAGGCAGCAGUAGGGAAUCUUCGGCAAGGGACGAAAGUCUGACCGAGCAACGCCGCGUGAGUGAAGAAGGUUUUCGGAUCGUAAAACUCUGUUGUUAGAGAAGCGGUAUCUAACCAGAAAGCCACGGCUAACUACGUGCCAGCAGCCGCGGUAAUAC
This 403-nucleotide ribosomal RNA is filed under the name uncultured bacterium. RNAcentral's name for it is "partial 16S ribosomal RNA". It matches the Rfam family "Bacterial small subunit ribosomal RNA", at positions 28 to 526 of the family's 1533-position model. The record is from RNAcentral.